This 349-nucleotide long non-coding RNA is filed under the name Mytilus galloprovincialis (Mediterranean mussel). Lineage: Eukaryota; Metazoa; Mollusca; Bivalvia; Mytilida; Mytilidae. The record is from RNAcentral.
UCCAAAAUUAAACUUUGUUUGAUUUCAUCAAAAAUUGAAUAAAUGGGGGUUCUUUGAUAUACCAAAUCUAACUGUGUAUGUAGAUUCUUCAUUUUUGGUCCUGUUUCAAAUUGGUCUACACUAAAGUCCAAAGGGUCCAAAAUUAAACUUAGUCUGAUUUUAACAAAAAUUGAAAUCUUGAGGUUCUUUGAUAUGCUGAAUCCAAAAAAUGUACUUAGAUUUUUUAUUAUGGGCCCAGUUUUCAAGUUGGUCCAAAUCAGGAUCCAAAAUUAUUAUAUUAAGUAUUGUGCAAUAGCAAGUCUUUUCAAUUGCACAGUAUUGCGCAAUGGCAAGAAAUAUCUAAUUGCAC